CCGGUAAACGGCGGCCGUAACUAUAACGGUCCUAAGGUAGCGAAAUUCCUUGUCGGGUAAGUUCCGACCUGCACGAAUGGCGUAAUGAUGGCCAGGCUGUCUCCACCCGAGACUCAGUGAAAUUGAACUCGCUGUGAAGAUGCAGUGUACCCGCGGCAAGACGGAAAGACCCCGUGAACCUUUACUAUAGCUUGACACUGAACAUUGAGCCUUGAUGUGUAGGAUAGGUGGGAGGCUUUGA
This 241-nucleotide ribosomal RNA is filed under the name Escherichia coli. RNAcentral's name for it is "partial 23S ribosomal RNA". It matches the Rfam family "Bacterial large subunit ribosomal RNA", at positions 1920 to 2160 of the family's 2925-position model. Lineage: Bacteria; Pseudomonadati; Pseudomonadota; Gammaproteobacteria; Enterobacterales; Enterobacteriaceae. The record is from RNAcentral.